Molecule: long non-coding RNA, 6011 nt
Organism: Cornus florida
Lineage: Eukaryota; Viridiplantae; Streptophyta; Magnoliopsida; Cornales; Cornaceae
Exons: 6
Source: RefSeq, a predicted model, not a curated record
UUUAUGGGUUUUGUUUUAAAUUUUUUUCUAAAUCAACUAAUCAAGGUCUAUAAUUCUUGUUUUGCAAACUAAAUCCUAUUUGGUGAAAUUUUUUAUGAAUUUUUUUUAGGGCAAAUCAUUUCAGCCUCCCUAAUCGCCUCCAUCUCUAUUCUCGUUCUCAACUCUGAACUUACCCUUUAUGCUCCAUGGCUGCCUCUAAUCUCUCUCCUGUCACCCCUUCUCAGGUAAACCACUUUCUCUCCUCCCAACCUCUUUCCAGUUACAUAACAUAACAUAAAAACGGGUAUUUCUUCUUCUCUUUAUGAUGUUAGUAAUAUUAAUUGGGUUGUGGUUUUCAGUUGUGUUCGAGUAAGAAUGGCAUGUUCUCACCAUGUCAAGCUCUAAUGGUGAAGUCCACAAGGACUCGUCAUCAAUUGGGCGCUUUAACUGCAAACUAUAAAAAAAUACGAUAUACAAAUAUAUACAUAUAUAUAUAUGGUGAGGGGUAGUAAAGAAAUAUAAAAGGGCAAUUUUGGGAAUAAAGGGUUUAAAAUGGUCAUGUGCCAUGCACAUGACCAACUCACCGGAAUUUUCACCGGAAUUCUCACCGGAGGUGCUUAAUUGCACAUUUUUAUAUCUAGUAUGGAUUUAUAUAAACAAAUCGAACAAAAAGGGUGUAAUUCGCACAAAUUGAAAACCACAGGGGUGUUUUUCAGACUUUCCCCUUAUGUUUUUCUAUUUCCUUAUGGUUUAAUCUAUAUGUUAGGAUGUGAGGCAGUUAAACUACUUUAUAGUACAUAUUUUGGAAUAAUUGCUCCCUAAUUCAAAUUUUCUUUGAACUUGUUGGGAACUGAGUUUAUAUCAUUUUGAAAUUUAAUGGAAUAGACAUCAUGUUACCUGUUAGUAGGGCUUCAAUUUUUUUAGUUGUUUUGAUCAUUUGAGUGGACAUCAAACUAAGAAGUUUCUAGAUUCAUCUCAGUAAUUAUGUUUUUAGUUUCUGCCAGUAACAUGUCAACUAGCUACUGUUUUAUAUAUUUUUUAUAUUUGUAUUGAUACAUCAUUAUAUUUUUUUGCAUUUUGUAGACAUUUUGUAGCAGCUUAAGCAGUCAUAAUUGCUGAGAAUUCUGAAACUAUAUGGCAGCAGUUUAUCUGCUGGGAAAACCCAGAAAUAUAUCCUGGAAGAGCAAUUGAGUCCAAAAAACCCAGAAUCAAUUGAGUCCAAAAAACCUAGGAGAGCAAGCUUGUGGAAAGCUCAUAGUCCAAAAAACAUCUAUCCCGAACCAAUUGAGUCCUCACCCAUUGAGCCCAAAGGUUAUGUUUAUGGUUGGAAACAAGAGUCCAAAUAUGCUGGGUGGCAACGUGUAAGCUGAAAAAGUGUUCUUCUGCAUGAUUAGCUACCUAAGAAAAACACUUAUUCCUAGUAAUAGAAAUAGAAAUAGAAAAUUUUGUAUAUAAUUUAAAUUAUAUAGCAUUGUUUCAUGUAUCUAACUUUGUACUUGGAGGAACCCACUUGAUUUCUAAUGUCCUUCUUAUUUACUUAUAGCAAAAUUAAAUUAAAAAAUUCUAAAAAAACGAAGUCUAAAUAAAAUUAACAAAAAUUUUGUGAAAGCAUCCUCAGGUCCGUACAACACUUUUUAAAAGACUACUGGACCAAACCUUAGACAGUAUGUCCCUCGAUACUUUUGGACCGAGUCUGACCGUAUUUAUCGAGCUUGAUUCUUGAAUUGGUACUUUCAAUCCCAUUUAGAGUCGGUUUGAGGUUGAUUUUUAAUUGCCUAAAAAACGUUUUUAUUUUAAAAAAUUAAAUUACAUAUAGGCCUUUUUGGUAUUUAAUGGUUACCAAUUUUAGUUUACUAGAGAUUUUGAAUGAAGUUAGACUUAUGAACUUUUCAAAUCGCGUUUUGAGUAUAGGUUGUAUAUUUUAGGUAAUUAUUUUUUCUUAGACAAUUUUAUCCUUUUUUUAUUUUUUACAAAGACAAUCUCAGCCAUUCUUUUAUAAAGUUAAAAUUAUAUAUCAAAUAUAGUUAAUUUUGUAUUAAAAGAUAUUAUUGUAAAAUUAGCAAUACAAGUGUUUUAAAAAUAUUAUUACCAAACAAAUUUAAAAAUAAUUUAAUUAUAAAGAGUACAUGUCAUCAAACACCUACUAUAUUUUUCACCAAAUGUAAUUUUUCUACCGCUCCAGUUGUGAAAGCACUUAUUUUUUCUAACUGCAAUGCCAAACGAGUUCUUACACGGGGUUGCGUUGUAUGGUCAAACCAACACAUCCCCAUUCACGCAUGUAUUGUAAUCCAAUGCAGUUUAUUAACCAUUUUUAACCAAUCCUAAACCAUAGGUUAUGUUAAAUAACCGAAUUUUGUACUUUGCAUGUAAUCUUUACACUAAGAUAUUCACGUUAGUCUAACGUGAUACACAUAAACACCCAACUAUAAAUUAAAAGGGAGGUAUAUCUAUUUGCCGGUGAAAACUUGAAUGAUAGGGUGUAUACAAAAUUGAAGAUAAUGCAUUAUAUACUAAAACAGCCUUCAAAAAAAAAAAAAAAUCCAAUUCAUAUUUAUUAAAUAUCUUAUGAUUAAAUCAUGCAUGCAUGGCAACCUUUUUCUUUUAUCAAUUUGACAUGGAACUGGCACACAACCCAAACUUCAUUCCUCGUUAUCAAAGAGAAAAUCAUGUUUUUAAAUAUUGUUGUAUAUAUAUUGUUAAAUUUGCACAUUAUUUUUAACAUAUAGUAGUCAAAUUCACUAGCAUGCUCUAUUAAUAUGUAUUUCUUUGCUCAUAUUAUCAUCUCUGCUUUCACUAACAUGCUUCUAAUGAGAUUCGAAUUAUUUUGAAAAAAAAAUCAUAACAUCCGAAUUAAAAACCUUGAUAAUAUCUUGUAACAACUCUUUCUUUCUUUUAUGAAUAACAGUGUUUUGAGGCACUCAAAAAUCAAAAUCUAGGGCUAAAAACACUCUCUCACACACACUAUUUCCCUCUCUUCAUGUGAUGAGUCUGAAUAUGAAAUGGCAUUGUCCCUUGGUAUUCGAAGCACAUCAUUGUCCUAUUGAGUAACACUUUUCAAUAAAUUUAUAAGUAUUUAGGGACCUCUGGCGAAUGCUAUGAAGAAAAGAAACUCACUGGCAAAGCUACCUAUUUUUGGCUCUCAAACAAUAGAGGCUUCAUUACUCUUAGAAUGUCUCUCUCUCUAGUCUCUCCCAGUCUCUCUCUCUCUCUUAGAAUGUCUCUUUGACUCUUAUCUUCUCUCAUAGAUUACUCUUAUUUCUCUUUUGUAGUCAUUCUCUCUCUAGCUCUCUCUCCUCUCACUUCAUAGCAAGAAUACAGAAUUUUCAUUGAAAUACAUUGUCCUGUAAGUGGAAAAUCAAUGUCAACUCUUUCUCUCUCUACAUAUGUAUGUAUUAGAGCUGAUUUAUCAGCAUGUACUGAACUCUAUUUCUAUCCCUCUUAAAAAUAUAUUUGCCAUAUUUGUGCUGUUAAGGGCUGAAAUUAAUCGAUGCAUGUAGUCGAUUAUGAAGGAUAAGCAGCUAUUGGAUCUCAAAUUAGAACCUAAAGCAGCUAUUGAAGCUCAACUGUGUUUGAUUGGGGCUCAACUGUUGGAGUUCUCAUCAAUGCAUGUGUUCGAUUUGGGCAGAUUGAUUUCCUGUGGGCAAUAAGACAUUUUGUAGCAGCUUAAGCAGUCAUAAUUGCUGAGAAUUCUCAAACUAUAUGGCAGCAGUUUAUCUACUGGAAAAACCCAGAAUUAGCGUGGGAUUUUCUGAAGCCGCUAUUGAAGCUCAACUGUGUUCGGUUAGGGCUCAGCUACUGAAGUUCUUAACAAUGCAUGUGUUCGAUUAGGGCUCAGCUAUUGAAGUUCUUGUGGGGCGAUAAGGCAAGAAUCUUAGCACUGAAUUCAUCAUAUAUCCUUUCUGCAAGUUAAUGAGGAAAUGAUGGUGCAUGUAUAGCAGCGGUAUAAAUAAACCGCUGCAGGAGCCCCUUUAUGCCAGCCUUUCUCUCUUAACUGCUGCCUAAGAGAUAUUGUGACCGCUGCUCAAACUAUUUUAUUAAUUUCCCCCCAGUUACCCGAAGUACUCUUCCGUGAAACUUAUCUUUCCUGCUCUACGCCCGUCUCUCCUCUCUCUCGCACUACACACAAGACUGUUCAAGCCCAAAAAAAUUGAUGGAACAAUCAUCUGUCUCUGAGAAUGCCUCUAUGACUCUAUCUUCUCUCAUAGAUUACUCUUGUUUCUCUCUUCGGUCACCCUCUCUCUAGCUCUCUCUCUUCUCUCACUUCAUAGCAGGAAUACAGAAUUUUCACUGAAAUACGUAGUCCAGUCCUUUAACUGGAAAAUCAAUGUCAACUCUUUCUCUCUCUCUCUCUCUACAUAUAAACAUAUUAUACAUAUAUAAAUAUACGUGUGCUAGUGCUAAUUUAUCAGCAUGUACCAAACUCUCGCUUAAAAAAAUAUUUGCCAUACCUAUGCUGUUAGGACUAAAAUUAAUCAUUGCAUGUAGUCGAUUAUGAAGCAUUAGCACCUAUAGGAACUCAAAUCGGAGUCUAAAGCAGCUAUUGAAGCUCAAUUGUGUUUGAUUGGGGCUCAGCUAUGGAAGUCCUUUCGAUUUGGGCCGACUGAUUUCCUGCGGACAAUAAGACAAGAAUCUUAGCACUGAAUUCAUCACAUAUCCUCACUGCAAGUUAAUGAGGAAAUGAUGGCGGAUGUAUAGUAGCGAUCUAAAUAAAUUGCUGCAAGAGCUUGACUUAUUCUUUUUUUUUCUUUCUCUUUCUUUCGGCAAAUAUACAGGAGUCCCUUUAUGCUAGCCUUUUUCUCUAAUCGCUGCCUAAGAGAUAUUGUGACCGCUGCUCAAACUAUUUUAUUAACUUUCCUCCAAUUACUCAAAGUACUCUUCCGUGAAACUUAUCUUUCCUGCACUAAACCCUUCUCUCUAGUCUCUCCCAGUCUCUAUCUAUCUCUUAGAAUGUCUCUCUGACUCUAUCUUCUCUCAUAGAUUAUUCUUAUUUCUCUUUUGUAGUCAUUCUCUCUCUGGCUCUCUCUCCUCUCUCUUCAUAGCCAGAAUACAGAAUUUUCAUUGAAAUACAUAGUCCUGUAAGUGGAAAAUCAAUGUCAACCCUUUCUUUCUCUCUCUACAUAUGUGUGUAUUUGAGCUGAUUUAUCAGCAUGUAAUGAACUCUUUUUCCAUCCCUCUUAAAAAUAUAUUUGCCAUAUUUGUGCUGUUUAGGGCUAAAAUUAAUUGAUUAUCAAAAAAGGGCUGAAAGUAAUCUAUGCAUGUAGUCGAUUAUCAAGGAUAAGCAGCUAUUGGAGCUCAAAUCGGAAUCCAAAGCAGCUAUUGAACCUCAACUGUGUUUGAUUGGGGCUCAACCUGUUGGAGUUCUCAUCAAUGCAUGUGUUCGAUUUGGGCAGACUGAUUUCCUGCGGGCAAUAAGACAUUUUGUAGCAGCUUAAGCAGUCAUAAUUCUGAGAAUUCUCAAACUACAUGGCAACAGUUUAUCUGCUGGAAAAACUCAGAAUUAGCGUGGGAUUUUCUAAAGCUGCUAUUGAAGCUCAACUGUUUUCGGUUAGGGCUCAGCUAUUGUGGGGCGAUAAGGGGUGGGAAAAUUUGGUGAGAUUUGCCUCAAUAUUUUAGGCAAACUGCUAAGAUUCAACUAUGAUAAGUCAAUUUUUGCUCGGGAAGUGAAGAAGCUGCAGGCCGAGCAGUUUCAAGCCUAUUGAACCAUGUUGUGUUGUUGGAGCCUACUGUGUGCCGAAGUAACAAAACUUGCUACAUAGCCAAUUUGCGCUUCCUUGCCUUGGUAUUAGAGUGGAUUUUAAUUCGUGAAUUAAGAGGGAGAUGUCCUUCAUCUUACUGAAGUAAUAAUAGGAUAAUAGUCCUUUUAAUUCGUGAAUUUUAAUUCAUGCUUGCUUGAGCAUAUAAACAUGUAUAUUGUAUAAAAAAAUGUGUAUUAGAGCUGAUCUGAUUUAGCAGCAUGUACAAACCUCCUCUUUUAUUUUUCCUUAAUUGUACAAACCUCUCUUUCCAUCUCCCAAUGAAACAUAUUUUCCUUA